Molecule: ribosomal RNA, 344 nt
Filed under: uncultured fungus
Lineage: Eukaryota; Fungi
Description: eukaryotic LSU rRNA
Source: RNAcentral
AGAGUUAAAUAGUACGUGAAAUUGUCAAAAGGGAAACGCUUGAAACCAGUAUUGCUUGCAGGUAAUCAGCCACACGUUCAGUGUGGUGCACUUGCCUGCCGGCAGGUCAACAUCAGUUUGAUUUGGGGUAAAAAGCCAGUGGAAGGUAGCCCAGAGCUUGCUUUGGGUGUUAUAGCCUCUGGUCCUGCCCUGGAUUGGACUGAGGACUGCAGCGUUUUUUGGGUACCCGGUCGCCUCUUGAAACCGGCUUGCAGACAGCAUGCUGACUGUGAGUUUGACGUAGGGAGCCCGGUCGGUUUGCCACACCAACGCUUGGGAUGUUGACGAAAUGGUUUUAAACGACC